GGUCCUAUAACUCAGUUGGUUACAGCAUCCGGCUAAUGACUGGAAGGUCGCCGGUUCGAUCUCGGUUGAGACCA
RNAcentral lists this transfer RNA (74 nucleotides) under Besnoitia besnoiti. RNAcentral describes it as "tRNA-Ile". The record is from RNAcentral. Lineage: Eukaryota; Apicomplexa; Conoidasida; Eucoccidiorida; Sarcocystidae.